AUUGAACGCUGGCGGCAUACUUUACACAUGCAAGUCGAACGGUAACAGGGUGCUUGCACCGCUGACGAGUGGCGAACGGGUGAGUAAUGCGUCGGAACGUGCCGAGUAGUGGGGGAUAACGCAGCGAAAGUUGUGCUAAUACCGCAUACGUACUGAGGUAGAAAGUGGGGGACCUUCGGGCCUCACGCUAUUCGAGCGGCCGACGUCUGAUUAGCUAGUAGGUGAGGUAAAGGCUCACCUAGGCGACGAUCAGUAGCGGGUCUGAGAGGAUGAUCCGCCACACUGGGACUGAGACACGGCCCAGACUCCUACGGGAGGCAGCAGUGGGGAAUUUUGGACAAUGGGCGCAAGCCUGAUGCAGCCAUGCCGCGUGUAUGAAGAAGGCCUUCGGGUUGUAAAGUACUUUCAGCGGGGAGGAAGGCGGUGAAGUUAAUAACUUCACCGAUUGACGUUACCCGCAGAAGAAGCACCGGCUAACUCCGUGCCAGCCGCCGCGGUAA
RNAcentral lists this ribosomal RNA (500 nucleotides) under uncultured bacterium. Its description in RNAcentral is "partial 16S ribosomal RNA". It matches the Rfam family "Bacterial small subunit ribosomal RNA", at positions 30 to 523 of the family's 1533-position model. The record is from RNAcentral.